RNAcentral lists this ribosomal RNA (303 nucleotides) under uncultured bacterium. RNAcentral's name for it is "bacterial SSU rRNA". It matches the Rfam family "Bacterial small subunit ribosomal RNA", at positions 355 to 674 of the family's 1533-position model. The record is from RNAcentral.
UGGGGAAUAUUGCGCAAUGGGGGCAACCCUGACGCAGCAACGCCGCGUGAUUGAAGAAGGCCUUCGGGUUGUAAAGAUCUUUAAUCGGGGACGAAUUUUGACGGUACCCGAAGAAUAAGCUCCGGCUAACUACGUGCCAGCAGCCGCGGUAAUACGUAGGGAGCAAGCGUUAUCCGGAUUUACUGGGUGUAAAGGGCGUGUAGGCGGGCAUGCAAGCCAGAAGUGAAAUCUGGGGGCUUAACCCCCAAACUGCUUUUGGAACUGCGUGUCUUGAGUGAUGGAGAGGCAGGCGGAAUUCCCAGU